GAUGAACGCUGGCGGCGUGCUUAACACAUGCAAGUCGAACGAUGAUGCCCAGCUUGCUGGGUGGAUUAGUGGCGAACGGGUGAGUAACACGUGAGUAACCUGCCCUUGACUCUGGGAUAAGCCUGGGAAACUGGGUCUAAUACCGGAUACGACCAUCUGGCGCAUGUCAUGGUGGUGGAAAGCUUUUGUGGUUUUGGAUGGACUCGCGGCCUAUCAGCUUGUUGGUGGGGUAAUGGCCUACCAAGGCGACGACGGGUAGCCGGCCUGAGAGGGUGACCGGCCACUCUGGGACUGAGACACGGCCCAGACUCCUACGGGAGGCAGCAGUGGGGAAUAUUGCACAAUGGGCGCAAGCCUGAUGCAGCGACGCCGCGUGAGGGAUGACGGCCUUCGGGUUGUAAACCUCUUUCAGUAGGGAAGAAGCGAAAGUGACGGUACCUGCAGAAGAAGCGCCGGCUAACUACGUG
This 467-nucleotide ribosomal RNA is filed under the name uncultured bacterium. Its description in RNAcentral is "partial 16S ribosomal RNA". It matches the Rfam family "Bacterial small subunit ribosomal RNA", at positions 28 to 507 of the family's 1533-position model. The record is from RNAcentral.